This 1531-nucleotide ribosomal RNA is filed under the name Staphylococcus pseudintermedius. RNAcentral's name for it is "partial 23S ribosomal RNA". It matches the Rfam family "Bacterial large subunit ribosomal RNA", at positions 1270 to 2799 of the family's 2925-position model. Lineage: Bacteria; Bacillati; Bacillota; Bacilli; Caryophanales; Staphylococcaceae. The record is from RNAcentral.
CAUGUGGAGCGCUUAGAAGUGAGAAUGCCGGUGUGAGUAGCGAAAGACGGGUGAGAAUCCCGUCCACCGAUUGACUAAGGUUUCCAGAGGAAGGCUCGUCCGCUCUGGGUUAGUCGGGUCCUAAGCUGAGGCCGACAGGCGUAGGCGAUGGAUAACAGGUUGAUAUUCCUGUACCACCAUUAUUCGUUUUAAGCGAUGGGGGGACGCAGUAGGAUAGGCGAAGCGUGCUGUUGGAGUGCACGUCCAAGCAGUGAGAUUGAGUGUUAGGCAAAUCCGGCACUCUUAAGAUUGAGCUGUGAUGGGGAGAGGAACUUGUUCCUCGAGUCGUUGAUUUCACACUGCCGAGAAAAGCCUCUAGCUAGAAUAACGGUGCCCGUACCGCAAACCGACACAGGUAGUCAAGAUGAGAAUUCUAAGGUGAGCGAGCGAACUCUCGUUAAGGAACUCGGCAAAAUGACCCCGUAACUUCGGGAGAAGGGGUGCUCUUUGAGGUUCACGCUUCGAAGAGCCGCAGUGAAUAGGCCCAAGCGACUGUUUAUCAAAAACACAGGUCUCUGCUAAACCGUAAGGUGACGUAUAGGGGCUGACGCCUGCCCGGUGCUGGAAGGUUAAGAGGAGUGGUUAGCGCAAGCGAAGCUACGAAUCGAAGCCCCAGUAAACGGCGGCCGUAACUAUAACGGUCCUAAGGUAGCGAAAUUCCUUGUCGGGUAAGUUCCGACCCGCACGAAAGGCGUAACGAUUUGGGCACUGUCUCAACGAGAGACUCGGUGAAAUCAUAGUACCGGUGAAGAUGCCGGUUACCCGCGACAGGACGGAAAGACCCCGUGGAGCUUUACUGUAGCCUGAUAUUGAAAUUCGGUACAGUUUGUACAGGAUAGGUAGGAGCCUUAGAAGCGUGAGCGCUAGCUUACGUGGAGGCAUUGGUGGGAUACUACCCUAAUUGUAUUGGAUUUCUAACCCGCAGCACUUAUCGUGCUGGGAGACAGUGUCAGGCGGGCAGUUUGACUGGGGCGGUCGCCUCCUAAAGAGUAACGGAGGCGCUCAAAGGUUCCCUCAGAAUGGUUGGAAAUCAUUCAUAGAGUGUAAAGGCAUAAGGGAGCUUGACUGCGAGACCUACAAGUCGAGCAGGGUCGAAAGACGGACUUAGUGAUCCGGUGGUUCCGCAUGGAAGGGCCAUCGCUCAACGGAUAAAAGCUACCCCGGGGAUAACAGGCUUAUCUCCCCCAAGAGUUCACAUCGACGGGGAGGUUUGGCACCUCGAUGUCGGCUCAUCGCAUCCUGGGGCUGUAGUCGGUCCCAAGGGUUGGGCUGUUCGCCCAUUAAAGCGGUACGCGAGCUGGGUUCAGAACGUCGUGAGACAGUUCGGUCCCUAUCCGUCGUGGGCGUAGGAAAUUUGAGAGGAGCUGUCCUUAGUACGAGAGGACCGGGAUGGACAUACCUCUGGUGUACCAGUUGUCGUGCCAACGGCAUAGCUGGGUAGCUAUGUAUGGACGGGAUAAGUGCUGAAAGCAUCUAAGCAUGAAGCCCCCCU